RNAcentral lists this ribosomal RNA (205 nucleotides) under uncultured bacterium. RNAcentral describes it as "partial 16S ribosomal RNA". It matches the Rfam family "Bacterial small subunit ribosomal RNA", at positions 1296 to 1500 of the family's 1533-position model. The record is from RNAcentral.
GACUGCAGGCNGCAACUCGCCUGCACGAAGUCGGAAUUGCUAGUAAUCGCGGAUCAGAAUGCCGCGGUGAAUACGUUCCCGGGCCUUGUACACACCGCCCGUCACACCAUGGGAGUCGGUAACACCCGAAGUCGGUGGUCUAACCGCAAGGAGGACGCCGCCGAAGGUGGGAUUGAUGACUGGGGUGAAGUCGUAACAAGGUACC